RNAcentral lists this ribosomal RNA (497 nucleotides) under uncultured bacterium. RNAcentral's name for it is "partial 16S ribosomal RNA". It matches the Rfam family "Bacterial small subunit ribosomal RNA", at positions 28 to 507 of the family's 1533-position model. The record is from RNAcentral.
GAUGAACGCUGGCGGCGUGCCUAAUACAUGCAAGUCGAGCGAACAGACGCGGAGCUUGCUCCUCUGACGUUAGCGGCGGACGGGUGAGUAACACGUGGAUAACCUACCUAUAAGACUGGGAUAACUUCGGGAAACCGGAGCUAAUACCGGAUAAUAUAUUGAACCGCAUGGUUCAAUAGUGAAAGACGGUUUUGCUGUCACUUAUAGAUGGAUCCGCGCCGGAUUAGAUAGUUGGUAAGGUAACGGCUUACCAAGGCAACGAUGGGUAGCCGACCUGAGAGGGUGACCGGCCACACUGGAACUGAGACACGGCCCAGACUCCUACGGGAGGCAGCAGUAGGGAAUCUUCCGCAAUGGGCGAAAGCCUGACGGAGCAACGCCGCGUGAGUGAUGAAGGUCUUCGGAUCGUAAAACUCUGUUAUUAGGGAAGAACAAAUGUGUAAGUAACUAUGCACGUCUUGACGGUACCUAAUCAGAAAGCCACGGCUAACUACGUG